RNAcentral lists this long non-coding RNA (15406 nucleotides) under Octopus vulgaris (common octopus). Lineage: Eukaryota; Metazoa; Mollusca; Cephalopoda; Octopoda; Octopodidae. The record is from RNAcentral.
UCAACAAGAGCAGCAGCAAGCAUAACAUCAACAACAAUCACCACUACCACCACCAACAGCAACAACACCAGUAUCAUCAUCAACAACAUUGACAACGGUAACAACAGCAGCAGCAAUAACAAUAUUCGGUACAGCAGCAACAGCAGCAGCAACAAUUUCUACAUCAUAAUCAGUACCAGCAGCAGUGACAACAGCAUCAACAUAAACAACAACAACAACGAUGACGACGACAACAAAAAUACAAAACUGGAAUUCCAAGUCCAUUUCUAAUUUCGGUAAAUUCUACAACAUUUAUAGAAUUGGAUAAUUCGUGGUACACUCCACACCACCCUUACAACACCCGUCGUGAUUUCACACCACAUCACGUCACUCGACACUUCACCGGACCAACGUCACGUCACGCUGCGGCACACUACGGCACAUCCGCCUCAGUCACAUCCACCGAGGACUUGUCAUUUGGAUUGACUCAAAGGAAUUUCCAGGAGCUACCCUGGAUGUUUACCUUGCAAUGUAAUUAUAAUUAAUAUCUUUAAUAUUAUCAUUAUUAUUAUAGUUGUUGUUGUAAUGAGGAUUUCUUUAUUAGCCAGAAGGGCAAUAAUCACACAACACAUUCAUAUACACUAUAUUAGUAGAUAUACAUAAAUCACUGAUUUUAUAAAAACUGCGAAUAUACAUAACAUACAUAUAGACAUAUACAUAUAUACACACAUAUAUACAUGCAUAUACACACACAUAUACACACAUAAACGCUUAAUAAUAAUAAUAAUAAUAAUAAUAAUAAUAAUAAUAAUAAUAAUAAUAAUAAUAAUAAUGAUCAUUAGCACAAUGAUAACAUUGCACGCUGUCUCUGUCUAGCCGUCUAGAAUGGCGACAAUGCACCUUCCUCUUUCGAUUGGUCGUUCUUCGUCCUUCUACGAAAGAUGUGUUCCGAGUGAAAUAUUACCAAUGGAUCCUUCUAGAAUCUAAAGACUUCAUCCACCGGUCAACAUUUCUAUAGAUUUCCUUCCUUUCUUCAACCUACCAACCAUUUUUAGUUCCUUAUCUAUCUAUCUAUCUAUCUAUCUAUCUAUCUAUCUAUCUAUCUAUCUAUCUAUCUAUCUAUCUAUCUAUCUGUUUGUCUGUUUAUAUUCUUCUUCUUCUUCUUCUUCUUCUUCUUCUUCUUCUUCUUCUUCUUCUUCUUCUUCUUCUUCUUCUUCUUCUUCUUCUUCUUCUUCUUCAGAUUCUUUACUCCUUUCUUCUUCCAACAAUCAUUCGGCUUAUUUACCAUUCUAGAAAGAGAAAAUAAAUGUAAUUUUCGCGAAAAUGACGCUUCGUGUAAAAAUUCUCCACAUAUAUCUAAGGUGAGUAAAAGAGAAAUCUUGGUUUCUUUUGAAAAAUAUUUUAGCUUCAUUUCUUCAUUCAUUAAUAUAAUAAUUUCCUUCGUUUAAACCUCUUUCUUCCAUAUUUUACAGUACCUCAUUUAUGCAUUAUUUUCGUUCAUUUUUAUUUCGAUUUCUUUCACUGGUGUUUUCAUUUCGUUCAUUCAUAUAUAAAUUGUAUUUAGAUUCUAUCAUAAUUCAUUCAUUUCUUUCGUUCAUUUCAUCUUUAUUCGCUUACUCAUUCAUACUUUCACUUCAUUCAGCACUUUUAAUUUGCUUCAUUCAUAUUUCAAAUUAUCUCAUCAAUGUGUUAACUUCAUUUACCCAUUUUAAAUUCAGUUUCUUACUUUCAUCCAUUUUUUAAAACUUUAUUCAUUCAAACUUUUACUCCAUUUAUUCAUUCCUUCUUUCAUUCCUUCAGUUACAUUACUUAAUUCAUGCCUCAACUUCGUUUAUGCUGCGUGUUGGCAGAAUCGUUAGAGCGUUGGACAAAUGGUUUGCGAUAUAUCUUCUGACCUCUACACUCUGAGUUCUAAUCCCGCUGAGAUCAACUCUAUUUUGUUAUCCCUUCAGGAGUCUACACAAGAAAAAGAAGCAAUCUAGGAUAACGAGUGAUCCAUUUGACUGAAUGUCUUGUUGUAUUUGUUGCAGUUCUUUGUAUUCUGAGUUCAAAUUCCACCAUGGCCUACUUAACUGUCGCCCGGUUUAUCACCAUUACUUGCCACUUUGGGUCUCUUCAUCGGAGUUCACUCUGUUGCAAGCAUCUGAGCUAGAUCCUUGGUUUGAGGCUAUCUGCCUCGCUCCCUCUCUCCCUUCUCGAAUACCUUAUGUCGGGCUGUCGGUUUUGCAUUCCUUGCGGAAUAAAGAUAAAAGGAUAUUUUAUACAGUGGUCGCUGUGCAAUAAGAAUUUUGUUUCUCAACCAUAUGGUUCCAGGUUCAGUCCUACAGCGUAGCACCUUGGACAAGUGCUUCCUACUAUAGUCUCUGGCUGACCUUGUAUUUGGUAGACGGAAACUGAAAGAAGCCGGUCGCUUGUGUGUGUGUAUGUGUAUUUAUAUUUGUCCCCUACCAUUGCUUGACAACCGAUGUUGGUGUGUUUACGUCCCUGUUACUCCACGGUUUGAGAAAAGGGCCCGAUAAAAUAAAUACCAAGCUAAAAACAAAUAAGUACCGGGGAUCGAUUCAUUCGACUAAAUAUUCUUCAAGGCGAUGCCCCAGCAUGGCCACAGUCUCAUGAUUCAAGCAAAUAAAAGCUAUGUUCUUUCGUUUCACUCUUUCAUUCCUCUAUACUCUUUAUCGCCUUCUCAUUCAUUUUAACUUCGAAUGAUAAUUUCAUGCUUUUAUUUCGUGCAGUUACUCAUUCGGCCAUGCCUUACUUUCCUUCAUUCAUUUUCCUUCUUUCAUUUAUAUAUUCAUUCACAUUCUAAUAUUAUUCCCUUAUUCAUUUCUGUUUUAGAUUCCAUUAUUCAUUUUUAAUUUCCUUCGUUCAAUUUCCUUUCUUUCAUUCAUUUAAACUUCUUUCAUUCGCUUGUUCGUUCCUUCAUAUUCAGACAACUUUUAUUCAUUUAUUUAUGUUUCAAUGUCUUCAUUCCUUUUACAUUCUUUCUUGUAUUUCAAUUUCGUUCGUUCAUAUUUCAACUUUAUUCAAUUAUAUUUUACCAUCUUUCAUUCAUGUCUCGAUUUACUUCAUUCUUUUCUAGAAUCAUCCAUUUAUACAUUCAUGUUUUAAUUUCAUUCGAUAAAUGAAUAAAUUCAUUCACUCGUUCAAAUUCAUUCAUUACUUAUUCAUUAUUCGUAAACUUAAUUCUUCGCUUGCUUCACUCAAUUCUUCUUCAAUGAGACUGUCAUUCGUAUAAAUUUUACCAUAACUCAUUCAGUGAUUCAUUUUUUUAAUCAUAACUCAUUCAAUUGAUACAUUUUCUUUAUUCUUCUCUAUCAUUCAUCCUUGCUUCUUUAUCAUCAUUCAUUCACUCAAUAAAAUUCUUUCUUAAUUUAUUCGCCCACAUAACUUUUUCCUCCUUCCGUUUUAAUUUCCUUAUCACACGUUCCCUUUAUUUUCAUCUCUCAUUUUCUACAGGUUUCAGCUAGAGGCUUAGGCCAUGCUGGAGCACCACCUUUCAGUGUAUUUGGGUUUCUUUUCUACUUUGUUUCUGGUAAUUCUUUGUGCCUUCGACCGCGAUGUAGACUCAUCUGGUAUCAGUGAUAAAAAUAUAAAGAAAAAUAUUAUUCAGACGCGCUUUGAAGACCUACACAUUUACACCUUGCAAAUCUCUGAGGUGAUAUGGCAGAAUUUUAAUUAGAUGUGGACCCUUGAAGCCUAAGCUGUUACAGUUCUGGGUCCUUAUUUCAGAUUUUCAAUUUAACUUCCUUUCAUCCAUGCUUCAUCACAUAUAAAUUCCUUCUCAAUAUAUACAAUAGAUGCAGACAUGGUUAAGUGGUUAACAAGAUCGCUUUGCAACCACAUGGUCUCAGGUUCAGUCCCAAUGCACGGCAACUUGAGCAAGUGUCUUCUACAAUGGACUCGGGCUGAGACCAAUGCCUUGAGAGUGAAUUUGGUCGACAGAAACUAUGUGGAGUUCGUCAUAUGUGUGUAUAUAUAUAUAUAUAUAUAUAUAUGUGUGUGUGUGUGUGUGUGUGUGUGUGUGUGUACGUACAAACACACAUGCGUGUGUCUGUGUAUGUGCGUGCGGGUUUUUAACCCACCCAUUCCCACUAUUCGACAGCCAGUAUUCGUUUUGUUUACGUCCUUGUAGCUUAGCAGUUCGGCAAAAGAAACCGUUAGAAGAAACCAGACUGAAAGACAAAAAAUAAAGAUGCAUUAGGAGUUAAUUUUCCCCUGAAGACGGUGUCCCAGCAUGGCCGCAACCAAAUAACUGAAACACAUAAAAGAUAUUCUUAUUCUCCCUUCUUAACUUUAUUCUUCACUUCUUUCAUUUUAUUUCACGAUUUCCUUCACCUCGUCUCCUUCCUAUCACCGUUUCCACUUCUUUAUUCAUACCUUUCAUAUUUUCUUCAUUGUCAUCAUACUUUCGCUGUACGAUUAGAUUAUUACCAUUAUUGUCUUCCAUAUAUAUCUUUACUUUUCACCUUCCAAUUAUAAUUUAUUUGUUGUUUUCAAAAAUUUCUUUCUUCCUUUAACUCUAUCUUUGAUUCCUUCUUUCGGUCACACAACUUAUAUGUUAUUUGAAUAUCAGUAAUUACUCCAUUUCAUUCAUUAUUACUGAGGUUGAAACCAAUCACGCAUCAUUUUGUUAUUGAAUUAAUUAUACAUGUUGUUACAUAUAUAUAUAUAUAUAUAUAUAUAUAUAUAUAUAUAUAUAUAUAUAUAUAUAUAUAUAUAUAUAUAUAUAUAUAUAUAUAUAUAUAUACUGCAAAAAGAAAAUGGAGGAGAACAAAAAUGACAUCAGCCGGUAGAUAUACUAUUAUGUCUAUUCCGAAACAAAAGGGAGCAUUAUAAGAAUAUAUAGACAUGCAAAGACUGUGUGCUGCACAAAUAUAUACUAGUAAUAGUAAUAAUAGUAACACAUAAGAGAGUAAAAGAUUAAAAGAUCAAAAGAUCAAAAGAUUAUAAGAUCGCUUAGUUGAUUGGCUUCCCAACCUAUAUAUAUAUAUAUAUAUAUAUACAUAUAUAUAUAUAUAUAUAUAUAUAUGUAUGUAUGUAUGUAUGUAUGUAUGUAUGUAUGUAUGUAUGUAUGUUUGUAAUGAGAAAAAAGUCGUCAGAAUUUUAGAAAAAAUUUUUUUAUUUCUUCAUUAUUAAUAGCGCUUUCGUUCAUUUCUCGAACUUGUCAAAUAGAAUUUCGUGAAUAUACAGUUUGUUCAUUUAUAUAAAACAGAUGGGGGUUUUUGUCUUUUGGGGGUGAGGUUCCAUUGACAGUGGAGAUAGAUAGAUAGAAAUAUAGGUAGGUAGAUAGAUAGAUAGAUACAUACAUACAUACAUACAUACAUAGUUAGAUAGGCAGAGAGAGGGAGAGAGAGAGAGAGAAGGUGGAGCCCCCUUCCUAUUCACCAUAUAUUUAGUUAUUUAUUUAGUCAUUUACCAUUGUAUUGGAAUAUAUAUAUAUAUAUAUAUAUAUAUAUAUAUAUAUAUAUAUAUAUAUAUAUAUAUAUAUAUAUAUAUAUAUAUAUAUAUAUAUAUAUAUGCAUAUAUAUAUAUAUCAAACAUAAAAUAUCACGGAUGUGUGGUAAGAUGUUUUCUUCAAAACUAAAUGGUUCUGGGUUCAGUCUCAGCCUCACUGCGUGGUACCUUGGGCUACUGUUUUCUGCUAUAGCCUCCAACCGACUAAAGCCUUAUUCGUGGGUUUGGUAGACAAGAACAAAGACCGUCGUACAUAUACAUAAGUCUGUGUGUAUGCAUAUAUAUAUAUAUAUAUAUUUAUAGAAAUACGCACAUACACACUAACACACGCAUUUGUAAUGUCAUAAUGUCUAUAAAAUAGCAAGUCGUUGCUAUCAUAUUUUUAAUACGGUUUCUUUAACUGGCAAAUGGUAGAACCGUUUGCACGCCUGCAUUUCGCCCGUCUUGAGGUUCUGAGUUCGAAUUCCACUAACAUCGAUUUUGUCUCACAUCUUUUCCGAUUUACCAAUUGAACACUAAAGUCGAUAUAAUCGACAAUCUCCCUUCACCCCCCAAAAUUGCUAGCCUUGUGCCAACAUUCGAAACCGAUAUUACUGACCAGUAUACGCAAUCGUCUAAUUCAGAUUCGGUUUUAAACCCGAUCCAUGCUUAAGCAGGGGCAAUAGGAGAAUAUAUGCUUACAUUUUCAAGGGAACAAUAUACAAAAUCUCAAUCUAUAUAUAUACAUAUAUAUAUUGCAAUAAUAACAAUCGGGUGUAUAUUUUUGGAAGUGUUGGUAGUAGAAAAGGCAUUUUAACUCUUAUUUCUAAAUUCUGUACCUGGCGAAGCAACUUGCUGCCCCCUGAUUAUAAUUAUGUUUAUAAUUAUGGAAUAUUUAUAUAUACACGCACAGUAAUCCCUCGUCUGCCUCGGAUGUUACGCUCCAAAAACCCCGCGAUAGGUGAAAAUCCGUGAAGUAGAAACAGUACUGUCCUGUAUAUUUUUUAUUAUUUUUAUGAUUUGUAUAUAUUUAUUUUAUUAUACAUGUAAAACAACACCACAGAGGAAUCGGCGUAAGCUUAAAUAAUAAACCGCGAUAACUGAACCUCGAUGUGGCGAGGGAUAACUUUAUAUAUAUAUAUAUGUGUGUGUGUGUGUGUGUGUGUGUGUGUGUGUGUGUGUGUGUGUUUGUGUGUGUUUGUGUGUGUGUGUUUGUAAUAUAUGUGUUUGUAUUAUAUAUAUAAUUGGUCGUUGUAGAUUCCAAUAUUAUUUAAUGACCAAUUUUAAAUACAAUUGGAAUUUACUCACAACGUAUUGGAAUCUUAUAUGUAUACCAUUCUGUCUAAAUAAUGGAUCUACAACUGCAAUAUCAGCUGUAAGACCUUCUAUUUAUAAAUGUUCUAAAAUCUUCACAACCUUGGUUUUUUUUAUCUCAUUCUGAAGGCAAAAAUUUAUAUAUAUAUGUAUAUAUGGAGCAUCAUCUUGCAAUUUUAGUCGAAUGUGUCGAACCUAAUACUCAGUAUAAGGCCUAGUAGAAGACACUUGCCCAAGGUGUUACGCAAUGGGACUGAACCUGGAACCGCAUGGUUGAGAAGUGAGCUUCUUACAACACAGCCAUGUCUAUAUGUAUAUAUACAUAUAUAUGUGUGUGUGUGUGUGUGUGUGUGUGUGUGUGUGUGUGUGUGCGUGCGUAUGUGUGUGUGUGUAUGUGUUAUAUAUCAUUUGCAUGAUAUGGACAAUAUACCGCCAGUAUUGCCCAAAUGACCUCAACAUUAGAUUCAAAAUUCAUCCACGCCUAGGACCACGGGCCAUACAUCCCCUACCCAGUUCAGGAUCACAGCGCAUAAAUACAAUUUGUUUUCCUCAACAGGCCCUGCCCUAUUUAACAGUGUCCCGAAAGAGAUCAAAGAGGAAAAGGAUCCCAUCACCUUUAAAGGUAAUCUGGACAAAUUUCUUCAAGGAAUACCAGAUAAACCACCUAUACCUCGAUACAACUCACUCAACCAGAAUUCCCUACUCGAAUGGACCACGAUAUCACAAAACUUGACCAAUUUUUGGUCGAAGCAUAUCUAAGUGAUCUAAGUUAUAUAUGUAUGUAUGUAUGUAUGUAUGUAUGUAUGUAUGUAUGUAUGUAUGUAUGUAUGUAUGUAUGUAUGUAUGUAUGUAUGUAUGUAUGUAUGUCUACACAUAUAUAUGUAUAUAUAUAUAUACAUACAUACGUAUAUUUAUAUUCUAUCUUUCUAUAUGUAUAUAUAUUUAUAUAUAUAUAUGUGUGUGUGUGUGUGUGUGUGUGUGUGAGUACUUGGAGUAUUUUGGAAAUUCCUUGAUACAGUUUUAAUAUUUGAAGAGAAGAUUAUGUAUGUAUAUACAAGGCGCGUGGGUGUGUGUUCGUGCGGUAAGAGGUUUGCAUUUCAGUCGCGUGCUUCGGGGUUCUGUUCACUGCGUGGUACCUUGGUGUCUUCAGCCAUAAUCUCGUAUAUCUAUGUGUGAGUUUGUCCCCCACCAACGCUAGACAACCGUUGUUUGUUUGUUUAUGUCCCUGAUAACUAGGGACCGAUGGAAUAGUUACUAGGCUUUAAAAAAAUAGUGCCCUAGCAUUAAUGAAACAUGUAAGAGGUAAAUGAAAUAUAUACAUACAUUCGUGAAAUAGUCAUCAUCAUAUAUAUAUAUAUAUAUAAUAUAUCCUUAAAUACAAAUAUAUGUGUGCGUGUAUGUAUGUAUGUAUAUGUAUAUAUAUAUAUAUAUAUAUAUAUAUAUAUAUAUAUAUAUAUAUAUAUAUAUAUAUAUGUAUAUAUAUAUAUAUAUAUAUAUGUAUGUAUAUGUAUGUAUGUAUGUAUGUAUGUAUGUAUGUAUCUAUGUAUUUAAGUAUAUAUACACACAAUGAAAGUAUGUAAUAAUAAUAUAUAUACUCCGAUUUUAAACGACAUUUAUAUAUAAACAAUUGACUGGAAAAUGAUGAGCUAACCUAGACCAAGAAUCGAACACAUACAUCAACGUUCACACGGCUCUUUGCGCGUCCUGUUGGGUCAAACGUUCACCCAUCAAUUUCUGCCACAUUUUAUGAAUAUAUACCCUAACUCUCCAUAUAUACUCUAACUUUGUAAGUUACGGAGUGCUGAUUUAUUUACAAUUAUUUUAUGUAGUAUUGGACAGAUGAAGUAUAUGGUUUCAUAAAUUUUGGCUGAAAUUGAUGGGUGAGCAUUUGGCCCAUUCGGAAUUGUACUAAUUGACUUGCGUAGUCACUCUAUCUCCGCAACUUACAAAGCUUUCUCGUUUGUUUGCAAAUAUUAUAUAUAUAUAUAUAUAUAUAUAUAUAUAUAUAUAUAUAUAUAUAUAUAUAUAUAUAUAUAUAUAUAUAUAUAUAUAUAUAUAUAUAUAUAUAAUCAACCUGUGUAUAUGUGUACAUUGAUUAAUUUACCUCUAAGUCUGAAUGUCUGUGGGCAUCUAGAACACCUUUACAGAUAUGUUUUCUUAUCUACCAAUCUAUUGUCAUAAAUGUUCCUACUGGUUGCUAGGUGUCUAACUAUUUACUUAACUCAUUUCUCUGUCUAUCUCUCUGUCUAUCUAUCUAUCUAUCUAUCUAUCUAUCUAUCUAUCUAUCUAUCUAUCUAUCUAUCUAUCUGUCUGUCUAUCUAUCUAUCACUCUAUCUCUUUAUCUCUCUAUAUAUCUAUCAGUUCAUCUUUUUGUCUGUCUACUUCACUGUCUCUAUGUAUGCAUAUAUGAAUGUAUGUUUAUGUAUGUAUGUAUGUAUGUGUGUGUGUGUGUGUGUAAGUAUGCAUUUGUGUACGUAUGUAUCUAACUAGCCAGCCAACUAUCUAGUUGCCUGUCUGUCCGUCAGUUCGUAUACACAUAAGCAUCCGCAUGUGUGCGCCUGUUCCUCUCUGUGAAUGAUUAAGAAAGUUUAUGCAAGAAUAUAAAAAUGUUUAAUAAACAUCGUAUUCAUCUCUCUCUCUUUCUCUCUCUCCCUCUCCCUCUCUCUCUUUCAUUCAUGUAUACAUAUGUGAGAAUGUGUUUGCGUGUGCGUGAGAGUGCGUGUGCAUACACACACAUGUGCAUAUAUAUAUAUAUAUAUAUAUAUUUAUAUAUGUGCAUAUAUAUAUAUAUACAUAUAUAUAUAUAUAUAUAUAUAUAUAUAUAUAUAUAUAUAUAUAUAUAUAUAUAUAUACGUGUGUGUGUGAGUGUAUACAUGCACAUAGGUAUCAUUGUAUGUAUGUAUGUCAUUGUUCAGUUUUAUUUCAAGAUUUCUUGCCAAUAGAGAAUGAACCAGUUUCUAACCUAGAGCUAAGACACCUUCAUUGGAAUUUCAACAUCAACAACUGGGUAUUUUUGUUUGUAUGUAUGUAUGUGCGCAUAUUUGUAUGUUUUGCUUCAUAUAUAUAUUCUCAUGCAUAUAGUUACAUAUCUAGACAUACUCAUAUAUAUUUGAAUAAUAAAUUCUUGGAAAGUUUUACAGUUCCAGUGAUGGAUUGGAUCUGUAGUUUUUGAAUUAGCUUUCUCUUUUCUGAUAUUCAGGACCCUGAUUUCUCAAAGUUGGUAUUUAGGCAGGGUAUUACAUAUCUCAGGGCCCCAAUAAUUACAGGUAUGAACCUGAACUCGUAAUCUGGAGAGAGUAACUACAGGUUUCUCAAUAGUUCGGUAUAGUGUUCCCUUUUCCACCGAUCUCCAGCUUUACGUUAACAUCCGCUGGUCAGGUAAUUUCCACAACUGUGCACAGUUUCCCUUCUCUAUUCCAAAUCAUUAUAUCAGGUCUGUUGUGCUUACAUUUUACUGAGGUAUUCACUGGGACGUUCCACCAGUAUUCCUUUUCUUGGCUUCUACCAUAUUGUGGUGUUUUAUUUCUUUGUCCUCGGGAUUAUCCUUACGACGGAUUUCAUUAUAAGUGUCCUAGCUACAACGUCAUGUCUCACCGGUAGAUAAUACCGUGAUGACAUUUUCGGACAACUGCUUAUGAAGUGGGUAAUAUCUUCAGUGUGAACUCCACAAAGUCUGCAUCGGUUGUCACAUUUUAUGGCUUUUCCUGCAUCUCUAUACAUUUUGUGCAUCAGAUAAUUGGUUCAUAUUUCCUGUUCCUGGAUUGCAAACGAACACGUAUGUAUGCAUGCAUGCAUAUAUGUAUGCAUGUAUGUAUGCAUGUGUGUAUGCGAGUGUAUAUCGGUACAGUAUGUCCAAGUGGUUAGGAAUUCUGCUUCGCAACCGUCAUCUCCCUCAUUCGAUCCCAUUACCCAACAACUUGGGUGAAUACCCUUUCUACUGUCUCCUUUCGAUCCAAACCUUGUGAGUAAAAAAAAUAUUUGAAACCUUAUGUUAUUUUACAAUAUAUUCAUUGAAGUAAUAUCAAACCAGUGUAUAGUGACUGUACACUCUAUACGAUAUUUUUACUCUUUCGUUUUCUCUCUUUUUCUCUCUCUUAUUCUUUUACCUCCUCUUCUCCUACUAUUCUGUCCUAUUACUCUGUCACUCUCUCUCCCUCAUUCCUCCUCCCUUGCUCAUGUGACUCCCACGUGACCAUCGGCCAUCUUUCUUUCUUUCUUUCCGUUGUAGCUGGAACAAGGUAGACGUGUUCAUGUCUGUCUCCUGUCCUAGCUUGAUUUACGCGAUCACCACCACAACCUCCUUUGGGCUUAGCAGCCCUUCAUGUUUGUUUUCACUGUCCUUUUGUGUUACCUAUUUUGACCCUCUGCAAAAUCCCAAAUUUUAUUUAAUUUUCUUUGCGGGAGCAACUGUUUUAUCGAAAGCGUAUAUUGUUGUUAAAUGCUCUAAAUACGAGACUAGAAAAACCGCCAACAACUGAUGAAGGGCCGGUUUUAUGUUGUUUGUUUUGUUUUCCAUUUGUGUCUUUCGUUGUUCGAAAGAAUAGUUCAUAUUUCAUGUACUCGUGCUUCGUACUUUUUUGUUGUACACGUUUCGUGAGGGCCUGUGCCCACAUAUGCAUAAAUAUAUACGUAUAGAUGUAAGUAUAUGCAUCUACGUAUGUAUAUAUUCACAUAUAUAUAUAUAUUAUUCAUAUUAUAUUAUAUGUAUGUGUGUAUGUAUGUAUGUAUGUAUGUAUGUAUGUAUGUAUGUAUGUAUGCAUGUAUGUAUGUAUGCAUGUAUACCAUCUUAAUUAGAUUAAAGGCUACAUUGUCGCAAGGAGGCACAUGUUGACACAAAGAUUCAAUCAGAAUGUGUGGAGGGCAUAGUGUGUGAGGGGUGUAGAAAUGAGGGAAGAAAUGAGUAAUAGAAGAAGGGAAGAAAGAAGAGAAAGAAUGAUAAAUAAGUAAAGAAAAAUAGAAAUAGGGGAGUGGGAGAAAGGAGGAAUUGGACGGGUCGGUGGUAGAAAAUAUAGUAGUUUUAGCUUCAUCACCGAAUUUGAUAGUGGGAUUGGCACUUGAAGAUAUAAAUUCAUGCAAGGUGGCGAGCUGGCAGAACCGUUAGCACGCCGAGCGAAAUGCUUAGCGGUAUUUCGUGUGCCGAUACGUUCUGAGUUCGACUUUGCCUUUCAUCCUUUCGGGGUCAAUAAAUUAAGUACCAGUUAUGCACUGGGGUCGAUAUAAUCGACUUUAUACGUUUGCCUGUCCUUGUUUGUCCUCUCUUUGUUUAGCCCCUUGUGGGUAAUAAAGAAGCAGAUAUAAAUUCAUACACACACAUACAAAUACACACACACACACACAUACAAAUACACACACACACACACAUACAAUACACACACACACAUAAUAUAUGUAUAUAUAUAUAUAUAUAUAUAUAUAUAUAUAUAUAUAUAUAUAUAUAUAUGAAAAAACAAGUCAAGAUAGAAAAUGCUAAAAUAAUUUUAUAAAGAACAUUUCAGUACCGGUUUCGGUCAUUUUGAGACCUUUUCAACUGUAACGAUUGAAUAAUUCAAUUUAGAAAAAUUAAUUUAGAAAAAUUAAAAGAAAAGUUUUUUUAAACCGGUACUGAAAUGCUCUUUAUAAAAUUAUUUUAGCAUUUUCUAUCUUGACUUGUCUUUUCAUAUAUAUCAACUCGUGUGUUCCUUUUCACCCAUAUAUAUAUAUACGUAUGUACGUGUGUGUACAUACUUUACGACCUAAUAUAUCUAUAUUUUGUAUUUUUGUACAAUAACUUCUUGUACGGCAGGAGAGGGGUCAACCAGAUGAGUUUCAAUCCUGUGUAGGGAUCUUGUCAGUCACUGAAUGUCGUUUGUAAUUGUCCACAUAGAUGCUGUUUUCUAGUGCACCAUUACGAAAUCGACCGGAAUGGUAUAAAAGAAUUUCUCAUUGACUUUUCAUUGCAAGGGAGAUAAGCUUUUUCUGAAAUAUUUCUGCAAAUCAAUGUAUUUCCUUAAAAAUACAUCUGAGUCACCAACUAAGUCACUUUGACCAGAAAUCUGAGAAGCAGGAUAAAUAUGUACCAUAAAUCGCACACUACUACGACCAUACUACAAUCUAGUUGUAAGCAUAUAUAGACACUCGUCCGGUCCUUGCAGCAUUGACGAAGCAGAACAUAGAGGACAUGACAGAUAUAGGCAAAGAGGCGAGCUGGCAGAGACGUUAGCACGCCGGGCGAAGUGCUUCGCGGUAUUUCGCCCGUCGCUACGUUCUGAGUUCAAAUUCCGCCGAGGUCGAUUUUGCCUUUCAUCCUUUCGGGGUCGAUAAAUUAAGAACCAGUUACGCACUGGGGUCGAUGUAAUCGACUUAAUCCGUUUGUCUGUCCUUGUUUUUUCCCCUCUAUGUUUAGCCCCUCGUGAAUAGUAAAGAAGCAGGUAUUGGCAAAUAAGCAUCAGCGCUUGGCUGAUACUUAUUUUCGUCAAACAGCAAGAACUCAACAGAGAACACUUGAUUCAUCGUUAUGUUGUUCUGAUUGCGUAGUCCGCUCUUUAUGUUUGUCUUUCGAUUUUUGCUUCAUUCUGAUACUUAUUCGUGGUUGAAUUAAAUCUUCUGUUUCUGUGUUUCUUCCGGAUAUUUUGGAAUAUUUUCCGGUGCAGCCGUUGACAUUCUGUGAUACGGUUCAUCCGUCUUUCUCAAGGAAGGCUUCAAUCUCUACUCACUUCUUUUGUCAUCAAUGUAGCUUGGGUGUACAGACCCGCAUAUAUUUGCACUGAGGCGCAUACAGAUAUCAAAUACACACACACACAUGCACGCACACACAAACAAAAACAUACGGACACACGCAUACAAACACAAACACGUAAACAUACUCAUGCAUAAACAUACAUAUUCUCUCUCCCACGUAAGCACACACACACACACUCAUGCACAAACAUGCAUACGCGCGCGCGCACACACACACACGUAUUUAUAAUGGAAAUAUAUAUUUGCAUGCAAAAUGUUCAAAAUAAUCUUUUCUACUCUAGGCAAAAUGCCCAACAUUUUGAGAGAGGGGGGCCAGUCGAUUAGAUCGACCCCAGUACUCAACUGGUACUUAUUUUAUCAACCCCGAAAGAAUGAAAAACAAAGUCAAGCUCGGCAGAAUUUAAACUCAGAACAUAAAAACAGACGAAAUAUCUAAUUCUUUACUGUCCACAAGGGGCUAAACACAGAGGGGACAAACAAGGACAGACAGACGGAUUAAGUCGAUUACAUCGACCCCAGUGUGUAACUGGUACUUAUUUAAUCGACCCCGAACGGAUGAAAGGCAAAGUAGACCUCGGCGGAGUUUUAACUCAGAACGUAACGGCAGACAAAAUACCGCUAAGCAUUUCACCGUCGUGCUGACGUUUCUGCCAGCUCUCCGCUUUAAACUGUUCAAAAUAAUGGCAACGAAAAGGGGAUCUUAUGUAGAGAUGACGAUAUUUAAAAUCUAAUAAACCUUAUUGAAGUGCUAGAUUAUCUUUUGGUUGUAUUAGAACUAAUAAUUUCGUCAUCAAAUUGGUUGCUCAGAUCAUAAUUUUAAUUUAUUUUAUUGAUUUCAUUUUUGAAACAUAUUAUACAGCUUAUGACAAGGGUUUCACCUAUUCCUCUUUCUAUUUUCAGUAAGCGUACCCUUGCAGCAGUAAACCGGAUAUGCAGAUCAGUUCCGGUUAUGGAACCUCCGGUAUCAUUGGUGUAACUUCCAUCGACGAGAACGACAGCAACAUCAAUAAUAAUAAUAAUAAUAUCAACGGGGCAAUUAAUAGUAACAACGACGAUAAGAGGAACAACAACAGUAACAGGAACCACAGCACCAAUAACAAUAAUAAUAAUAGUCCUACCAUGCCGUCUGCUGAGGCCCCCCUGAAUAAUAAUGACAAUGAACCGGAAGUUGCUUCUGGAAGCGACACACUAACACCAACAGAAUGGUUGUGGAGUACUUCGAACUGUCUUCACACGCGCCUGGAUAACCAGCUUCCUACUCAUCAUGAUCAUCAUCAUCAUCAUCCUCAUCACCAGCAGCAACAACAGCAACAAGCCCACACACAGCAAACGCAGCAUCCCUUACAUCCAACUCUACUCAAUGCUUCUCCUCACGCUUCCGCUCCUCCUCCUCCUCCUCCUCCAGCACAUCCUGUUACUCUUACUCAUAGUCAUCACCAUCAUCAUCAUCAUCAACAGCAGCAACAACAACAACAGCAACAGCCUCAACACCAGGAAAUGACGAGUGGCUCUAUUCUGUAUCCAGUGUCCACUGCUAACUUCCACGCCCAGGCUGGAGUCUACGGUCAACAGAAACAUCAGCAGCAGCAGCAGCGGCAGCAACAGCAGCAGCAUCAGUCACACCAGGGACAAGAUCAGCAACAGCAUAACCGCCACCACAACCCACAACACCACCACCAACAACAACACACUGAAGAUCAACAACAACAACAACAACCCCCGUUACUUACGUCUUCUGAACAUCAUCAGCAACAACAACAACAGCAACAUAACAUACACCUUCACCAUCAGAUACAGCAACAACAACAGCAGCAGCAGCAGCAACAUCAUCUCCAGCAACAACAGCAGCAGCAACAACACCAUCACCACCACCACCAUCUCCUUCUGCAUCCUCUCACCGCAGCCCACGCCGUCCGCCAUUCUGAAUCAAUGGUUAAUGCGGCACAAUACAACGCCGCGUCCG